CGUCGCGUGACAAUGAAGUACUUCGGUAUGUAAAGUUCUUUUAUUGAAAAAGAAAAAAUAAUGGAAAAACUAUCUUGACAUUAUUCAAUGAAUAAGCCCCGGCUAAUUAUGUGCCAGCAGCCGCGGUAAUACAUAAGGGGCGAGCGUUAUCCGGAAUUAUUGGGCGUAAAGGGUGCGUAGGCGGUUUGAUAAGUCUAUAGUUUAAAUGCAGUGCUUAACGCUGUAGCGCUAUAGAAACUGUCUGACUAGAGUUAGAUAGAGGCAAGCGGAAUUCCAUGUGUAGCGGUAAAAUGCGUAAAUAUAUGGAGGAACACCAGAGGCGUAGGCGGCUUGCUGGGUCUUAACUGACGCUGAGGCACGAAAGCGUGGGGAGCAAACAGGAUUAGAUACCCUGGUAGUCCACGCCGUAAACGAUGAGUACUAAGUGUCGGGUUUCGGCUCGGUACUGAAGUUAACACAUUAAGUACUCCGCCUGAGUAGUACGUACGCAAGUAUGAAACUUAAAGGAAUUGACGGGACCCCGCACAAGCGGUGGAUCGUGUUGUUUAAUUCGAAGAUACACGAAAAACCUUACCGGGUCUUGACAUAAUUUUGCGACAUUAUAGAAAUAUAAUGAAGGUUAUCAGAAUUACAGGUGGUGCAUGGUUGUCGUCAGCUCGUGUCGUGAGAUGUUAGGUUAAGUCCUAAAACGAGCGCAACCCUUGUCGUUAGUUGCGACCACGUAAUGGUGAGCACUUUAGCGAGACUGCCAAUGAAAAAUUGGAGGAAGGUGAGGAUUACGUCAAAUCAUCAUGCCCCUUAUGAUCUGGGCUACAAACGUGAUACAAUGGCUGUUACAAAGAGUAGC
Molecule: ribosomal RNA, 847 nt
Filed under: Peach little leaf yellowing phytoplasma
Lineage: Bacteria; Bacillati; Mycoplasmatota; Mollicutes; Acholeplasmatales; Acholeplasmataceae
Description: bacterial SSU rRNA
Rfam family: Bacterial small subunit ribosomal RNA
Source: RNAcentral